GAUGAUUCAGCAGAAUAUUUGUUAUAAAAGAACCCCCUGAUUAACGUAUAGAAAUACUGAGAGGAUUGGGUUUCUUGAGAGACAUAAAUGCUUAACCUGAAAAAUAUGGAUAGUAAUUCCAUUGUGCUAUUUGAUGAUUCAACAGAAUAUUUGUUAUAAAAGAACCACCUGAUUAACGUAUAGAAAUACUGAGAGGAUUGGGUUUCUUGAGAGACAUAAAUACUUAACCUGAGAAAUAUAGAUAGUAAUUCCAUUGUUCUAUCUGGUAAGAUUUUUGUGCUGUUUAUUCAUAGAGGCAAAGCGCCUUAGAUUACAAUAUUAUUUUUUAUUUUCCAGAUGAUUCAGCAGAAUAUUUGUUAUAAAAGAACCCCCUGAUUAACGUAUAGAAAUACUGAGAGGAUUGGGUUUCUUGAGAGACAUAAAUGCUUAACCUGAAAAAUAUGGAUAGUAAUUCCAUUGUGCUAUUUGAUGAUUCAACAGAAUAUUUGUUAUAAAAGAACCACCUGAUUAACGUAUAGAAAUACUGAGAGGAUUGGGUUUCUUGAGAGACA
Molecule: long non-coding RNA, 551 nt
Organism: Phymastichus coffea
Lineage: Eukaryota; Metazoa; Arthropoda; Insecta; Hymenoptera; Eulophidae
Exons: 3
Source: RefSeq, a predicted model, not a curated record